RNA transcript from Aegilops tauschii subsp. strangulata, 1667 nucleotides. RefSeq lists it as uncharacterized. Lineage: Eukaryota; Viridiplantae; Streptophyta; Magnoliopsida; Poales; Poaceae. The record is from RefSeq and is a predicted model, not a curated record.
GGUGCGGGAGAGUCUUCCCCGUUUCUAUCGGUCUCCUUGGGUGACAGGGAAUUCCCAGAAGGGGAAAAAAAGCUGAAAAAUGGCAGGAGAAAUGGCGAUGGAGAAGCGUCGGCGUCGCCACGCGCCACCGGCGGUCGCCUCCUCCUCUUCGACCCCCGCCGAGGCCUCCGGCCACACGCCGUCCCCUCCGCCGGACCUCCUCCCGGACAUCGCCCGUCGCCUCACCUCCCUGGAGGACUUCUUUUCCCUCCGCGCCUCCUGCCGCGACUACCGCGCCCUCCUCCCGGCGUCCCGCCCCCACCUCGCCUCCCAGGCCCCGCUCCUCCUCGUCUCCCUCUACCCCUCCUUCGCCGAGGCGCUCUUCCACCCCCGCCUCCGCCGCCUCCACCCCGCUUCCGCCUCCCCUGGGGCCACCACCUGCCCCCCUCCCGCCUCACCCUCCUCUACGCCCACGGCUUCCUCGUCACCGCCACCACCGCGGCCGCCCAGUACCCCCCCAGGCUCCUCCUCCUCCACCUCUUCACCGGCGACCAGCAGCGCCUCCCCAGGGUCCCCACCCCCUUCUCCCGGGCCAUCCUCUCUGCCGACCUCCUCGUCGUGCUCUUCCUGCCCGGCAGGUCCACCGUCCAGCACUGCCGCCCCGGGGAUGCGCUCUGGCGUGUGGCCACCGCCGAUGCGCCCCACGUGUUCGACGAUUUGAUCUUCGUUGACGCCACCCUCUACGCCCUGGUUGGCCUCCGUCUUGCCACGCUGGAGCUGUCCGAGAGUUCGCUGGAACUGUCAUUCCUUGGAGGAGAGUAUGAUGAGGAGAACAGGCCGGUGGGGGAGCGGUUCAUGCUCGGGGAGUGCGACGGCGAGGUGUUGCUCAUCAGCGAGGAGCAGGCAGAGACGGUUGUGUACCGUGUUUUCCGGUGGGUGCCUGGGGAGGGAAAGUGGGUGAUGAUAACAAGCUUGGGUGGGCGAACAUUGUUUCUUGGGUUCCACGGAUUCGCGGCUUGCAUCGGCCCAGGUUUCCCUGAGAUUCGAGGUGAUUGCAUAUAUGCUGCUGGGCGACGCUUGGGUGAAUGGUUCGAGUAUUCCUUGGUUAAUGGAACUUGUGAUGUCUGCUAUGCUGAAUAUGUGGGCGCACCACCCCUGAACAGCGAUUCACCUCUCAGACCUCCGGUUUGGGUCUUCCCCAGCUUGAUGCCAGCCUGAGAAAGGUUACCCAGAUCAUUGAAGAACAGUGAUGCUGACAUGAAGUAAGAAAAGGCCGUUGAUCCUCACCAGGUGCGUGCAAAUGGAUUGAUUGCUGCUGAAUGUGAACCAUGUGCGGGGCUACUGAAGGUCUUCCCGGAUGCUGAUAAACCUGGUCAUCUUCUCAGUUGUCGAUCUUUCCUUUGCGUUUCCUUGUUUUACCUUGCUGUUGACAUCUGGUGCUAUAGAGCAACAAACAUCAGAGUAUCAAAGAGAAGCAUGGUAACACAGCUGGACCUUCCCUGCAAAUUCCUGUGACAAUUCAUAUAUGUUGUUCAUGUUGUGUGUCUCCUGUCAAAGUUUCUUAUGCUACGAGAACAUGUAUGUUUUUCUGAUUCUUGUGGGAAUUUCGAGCCGUUUCUGUCGAAAUUUCAACGGUCCAAACAGGGCUGCAUAAUGCAAAUGCAGUAUCUACACUAACGUUGUACCUA